GAUGAACGCUGGCGGCGUGCCUAAUACAUGCAAGUCGAGCGAACAGACGAGGAGCUUGCUCCUCUGACGUUAGCGGCGGACGGGUGAGUAACACGUGUAUAACCUACCUAUAAGACUGGGAUAACUUCGGGAAACCGGAGCUAAUACCGGAUAAUAUAUUGAACCGCAUGGUUCAAUAGUGAAAGACGGUUUUGCUGUCACUUAUAGAUGGAUCCGCGCCGCAUUAGCUAGUUGGUAAGGUAACGGCUUACCAAGGCAACGAUGCGUAGCCGACCUGAGAGGGUGAUCGGCCACACUGGAACUGAGACAGCGUCCAGACUCCUACGGGAGGCAGCAGUAGGGAAUCUUCCGCAAUGGGCGAAAGCCUGACGGAGCAACGCCGCGUGAGUGAUGAAGGUCUUCGGAUCGUAAAACUCUGUUAUUAGGGAAGAACAAAUGUGUAAGUAACUAUGCACGUCUUGACGGUACCUAAUCAGAAAGCCACGGCUAACUACGUG
This 497-nucleotide ribosomal RNA is filed under the name uncultured bacterium. RNAcentral's name for it is "partial 16S ribosomal RNA". It matches the Rfam family "Bacterial small subunit ribosomal RNA", at positions 28 to 507 of the family's 1533-position model. The record is from RNAcentral.